AGCCCGUGAUGGUUUAAGAGUAGUGGACAGAAGGGAUUUCUGAAAAAUUCUGCUGAGGCU
RNAcentral lists this small nucleolar RNA (60 nucleotides) under Mustela putorius furo (domestic ferret). RNAcentral's name for it is "Small nucleolar RNA SNORD75". It matches the Rfam family "Small nucleolar RNA SNORD75". Rfam says of the family: U75 (SNORD75) belongs to the C/D class of snoRNAs which contain the C (UGAUGA) and D (CUGA) box motifs. Most of the members of the box C/D family function in directing site-specific 2'-O-methylation of substrate RNAs. This family includes the mouse orthologue Z19. The record is from Rfam by way of RNAcentral. Lineage: Eukaryota; Metazoa; Chordata; Mammalia; Carnivora; Mustelidae. RNAcentral also lists the same sequence under 3 other names.